GGGCCCGCACAAGCGGUGGAGCAUGUGGUUUAAUUCGAUGAUACGCGAGGAACCUUACCAGGGUUUAAAUGCAGAACGACAGGGGUGGAAACACCCCCUUCUUCGGACGGACUGCAAGGUGCUGCAUGGUUGUCGUCAGCUCGUGCUGUGAAGUGUCGGGUUAAGUCCCAUAACGAGCGCAACCCCCAUUUCUAGUUGCCAGCGGUUCGGCCGGGGACUCUAGAGAAACUGCCAGCGUAAGCUGUGAGGAAGGUGGGGAUGACGUCAAAUCAUCACGGCCCUUACAUCCUGGGCCACACACGUGCUACAAUGGUGGGGACAACAGGUUGCCAACCCGCGAGGGUGAGCCAAUCCCAAAACCUAUCUCAGUUCGGAUUGGAGUCUGAAACUCGACUCUAUGAAGCUGGAAUCGCUAGUAAUCGCGCAUC
RNAcentral lists this ribosomal RNA (428 nucleotides) under uncultured bacterium. Its description in RNAcentral is "bacterial SSU rRNA". It matches the Rfam family "Bacterial small subunit ribosomal RNA", at positions 917 to 1350 of the family's 1533-position model. The record is from RNAcentral.